ACAGGGAUUGCCCCAGUAACGGCGAGUGAAGCGGCAACAGCUCAAAUUUGAAAUCUGGUCCCCUCUGGGGGCCCGAGUUGUAAUUUGAAGAGGAUGCUUUUGGCGAGGCGCCGUCCGAGUUCCCUGGAACGGGACGCCGCAGAGGGUGAGAGCCCCGUACGGUCGGACGCCGAGCCUCUGUAAAGCUCCUUCGACGAGUCGAGUAGUUUGGGAAUGCUGCUCAAAAUGGGAGGUAAACCCCUUCUAAAGCUAAAUACCGGCCAGAGACCGAUAGCGCACAAGUAGAGUGAUCGAAAGAUGAAAAGCACUUUGAAAAGAGAGUUAAAAAGCACGUGAAAUUGUUAAAAGGGAAGCGCUUGCGACCAGACUUGCGCCCGUCGGAUCAACCGUCGCUUGCGGCGGCGCACUCCGGCGGGCUCAGGCCAGCAUCAGUUCGCUCGGGGGGAGAAAGGCGGCGGGAAUGUGGCUCUACGGAGUGUUAUAGCCCGCCGUGUAAUACCCUCGGGUGGACUGAGGACCGCGCGUAUGCAAGGAUGCUGGCGUAAUGGUCGUCAGCGACCCGUCUUGAAACACGGACCAAGGAGUCGUCCUAAUAUGCGAGUGUACGGGUGUCAAACCCCUGCGCGUAAUGAAAGUGAACGGAGGUGAGAGCUUCGGCGCAUCAUCGACCGAUCCUGAUGUUCUCGGAUGGAUUUGAGUAAGAGCAUAUUGGGCCGGACCCGAAAGAAGGUGAACUAUGCCUGUGUAGGGUAAAGCCAGAGGAAACUCUGGUGGAGGCUCGCAGCGGUUCUGACGUGCAAAUCGAUCGUCAAACAUGGGCAUGGGGGCGAAAGACUAAUCGAACCUUCUAGUAGCUGGUUUCCGCCGAAGUU
RNAcentral lists this ribosomal RNA (872 nucleotides) under Scopulariopsis africana. RNAcentral describes it as "eukaryotic LSU rRNA". It matches the Rfam family "Eukaryotic large subunit ribosomal RNA", at positions 68 to 968 of the family's 3401-position model. Lineage: Eukaryota; Fungi; Ascomycota; Sordariomycetes; Microascales; Microascaceae. The record is from RNAcentral.